This 798-nucleotide long non-coding RNA is filed under the name Volvox carteri. Its description in RNAcentral is "long non-coding RNA (VCAR_LNC000513)". The record is from RNAcentral. Lineage: Eukaryota; Viridiplantae; Chlorophyta; Chlorophyceae; Chlamydomonadales; Volvocaceae.
AAAUUUAAGUAUUAUAUUGAAGUUUUCGUCAGCUGCAUCAGCGGUAUCCCUCAUACAUGUUUCCGGCACCCAGUGGUGCUUCCUGUGGUACCCAUGAAGAACCCCCAGAAGGUAACAACAUAUUCCCUUUUAUUAUCACUGUUUUGCUUAUCCCAUCAUGUGUUGCUGCAACGUUGCAUAGUUAGCCUGUACGAAGAUAAAGAGCACUGUCUGACUAGCCUAAAGCACUGGGCUUACUUUGUAACAUGGGUAGGACUGACAUGCACGUCAUUAACUCAAUACUCCAAUUUGCUCACACCGGGGAUAAGGCUCCCAUCUUCUCGUCGUCCUCUCGUCCCGUUGGACACCGACACGGACACCGGCAGGAAAGACCGCAGGAGAUGGCUUGCCCUUGCUGCUGAGAUCAAUUCUACAUGCACCUUUUAGAAUUAAAUCAUAAUUUAAACCUGCGGAUUCCCAACGCUUUUGGCCUUCGCUUUGACUUCCGAACCAUGAGGUACCUGGCUCUAUGCGAGCUUGUAACAUCACAUCGUGACGAUGGAGCCCCAUUGAGAUUUUCUUACUCCUCUAUUUCUGCAUUCGAUGGCAGAUGUGUGGAGCAGACAUUGGGCAAAAAGGGUAUUUCUGGUUUCGGGAACGGGUCUAUGUGUGGAGAGCGACUCAAUGGCUCGGUAUGUUCACGGCAAGCAGGCAAAACAAAGUAUCGUUGUUCUUAAGGUGUGUACAUGCGGGAUUUGUCACAUGUAUUACACGGUCUGUUGGACAAGGGCUGUGUCAAGCCGAUUCGCACCACCAGGC